RNAcentral lists this ribosomal RNA (855 nucleotides) under uncultured bacterium. RNAcentral's name for it is "bacterial SSU rRNA". It matches the Rfam family "Bacterial small subunit ribosomal RNA", at positions 139 to 982 of the family's 1533-position model. The record is from RNAcentral.
GGGGAUAACAUUUGGAAACAGAUGCUAAUACCGAAUAAAACUUAGUAUCGCAUGAUAUCAAGUUAAAAGGCGCUACGGCGUCACCUAGAGAUGGAUCCGCGGUGCAUUAGUUAGUUGGUGGGGUAAAGGCUUACCAAGACGAUGAUGCAUAGCCGAGUUGAGAGACUGAUCGGCCACAUUGGGACUGAGACACGGCCCAAACUCCUACGGGAGGCUGCAGUAGGGAAUCUUCCACAAUGGGCGCAAGCCUGAUGGAGCAACGCCGCGUGUGUGAUGAAGGCUUUCGGGUCGUAAAGCACUGUUGUAUGGGAAGAAAUGCUAAAAUAGGGAAUGAUUUUAGUUUGACGGUACCAUACCAGAAAGGGACGGCUAAAUACGUGCCAGCAGCCGCGGUAAUACGUAUGUCCCGAGCGUUAUCCGGAUUUAUUGGGCGUAAAGCGAGCGCAGACGGUUGAUUAAGUCUGAUGUGAAAGCCCGGAGCUCAACUCCGGAAUGGCAUGGGAAACUGGUUAACUUGAGUGUUGUAGAGGUAAGUGGAACUCCAUGUGUAGCGGUGGAAUGCGUAGAUAUAUGGAAGAACACCAGUGGCGAAGGCGGCUUACUGGACAACAACUGACGUUGAGGCUCGAAAGUGUGGGUAGCAAACAGGAUUAGAUACCCUGGUAGUCCACACCGUAAACGAUGAAUACUAGGUGUUAGGAGGUUUCCGCCUCUUAGUGCCGAAGCUAACGCAUUAAGUAUUCCGCCUGGGGAGUACGACCGCAAGGUUGAAACUCAAAGGAAUUGACGGGGACCCGCACAAGCGGUGGAGCAUGUGGUUAAUUCGAAGCAACGCGAAGAACCUUACCAGGUCUG